UACGUAGGGGGCGAGCGUUGUCCGGAUUUACUGGGCGUAAAGCGCGUGUAGGCGGCUGCUUAAGUCGGGUGUGAAAGCCCGGGGCUCAACCCCGGGAUGCCGCCCGAGACUGGGCGGCUUGAGGUCGGAAGAGGGGAGUGGAAUUCCAGGUGUAGCGGUGAAAUGCGUAGAGAUCUGGAGGAACACCAGUGGCGAAGGCGGCUUUCUGGCCUGUUCUUGACGCUGAGGCGCGAAAGCUAGGGUAGCAAACGGG
RNAcentral lists this ribosomal RNA (253 nucleotides) under uncultured bacterium. Its description in RNAcentral is "partial 16S ribosomal RNA". It matches the Rfam family "Bacterial small subunit ribosomal RNA", at positions 524 to 776 of the family's 1533-position model. The record is from RNAcentral.